AUGAAAAUAGAUAUAUCAAAGGCUUUUGAUUCCUUGUCCUGGUAAUUCCUAUUGGAGAUCUUGCAGGUCAGAGGUUUUAAAAACAAAUGGUGCUCCUGGAUUUGCGGUCUUCUGAGCUCAGCCUCAUCUUCGGUUCUCAUCAAUGGG
RNAcentral lists this ribosomal RNA (147 nucleotides) under Triticum aestivum (bread wheat). RNAcentral's name for it is "partial small subunit ribosomal RNA". Lineage: Eukaryota; Viridiplantae; Streptophyta; Magnoliopsida; Poales; Poaceae. The record is from RNAcentral.